AGUGAACGCUGGCGGCGUGCUUAACACAUGCAAGUCGAACGAGAACGGAUUAUAGCUUGCUAUAAUUGUCAGCUAAGUGGCGCACGGGUGAGUAAUGUAUAGGUAAUAUGCCUCUUACUAAGGGAUAACAAAUGGAAACGUUCGCUAAUACCUUAUACUCCUUAUUAACAUAAGUUAAUAAGGGAAAGAUUUAUUGGUAAGAGAUUAGCCUGUAUUGUAUCAGUUAGUUGGUGGGGUAAUGGCUUACCAAGACUAUGACACAUAACUGGUUUGAGAUGAUGAUCAGUCACACUGGAACUGAGACACGGUCCAGACUCCUACGGGAGGCAGCAGUGGGGAAUAUUGCACAAUGGACGAAAGUCUGAUGCAGCAACGCCGCGUGGAGGAUGACACAUUUCGGUGCGUAAACUCCUUUUAUAUGAGAAGAUAAUGACGGUAUUAUAUGAAUAAGCACCGGCUAACUCCGUGCCAGCAGCCGCGGUAA
This 484-nucleotide ribosomal RNA is filed under the name uncultured bacterium. RNAcentral describes it as "partial 16S ribosomal RNA". It matches the Rfam family "Bacterial small subunit ribosomal RNA", at positions 29 to 523 of the family's 1533-position model. The record is from RNAcentral.